This 535-nucleotide ribosomal RNA is filed under the name Traverhyphes indicator. Its description in RNAcentral is "partial 16S ribosomal RNA". It matches the Rfam family "Bacterial large subunit ribosomal RNA", at positions 1796 to 2622 of the family's 2925-position model. Lineage: Eukaryota; Metazoa; Arthropoda; Insecta; Ephemeroptera; Leptohyphidae. The record is from RNAcentral.
UCGCCUGUUUAUCAAAAACAUUUCCUCUUGAUGGAAUAUGAGGUCAGACCUGCCCCCUGAAAUUUAAAUGGCCGCGGUAUAUUGACCGUGCAAAGGUAGCAUAAUCAUUAGUUUUUUAAUUGAGGACUGGAAUGAAGGGUUAAACGAAAAAUAACCUGUCUCCUUUUUGUGUUUAAAAUUUUAUUUUAUAGUGAAAAAGCUAUAAUAUAAUAGGAGGACGAGAAGACCCUAUAGAGCUUUAUAAAUCAACGUUAUUAGAUUGGUAAAGGUUGAGGUAAAUUUCAGUUUAUUAAAUUGGGGUGAUUCUAAAAUAAAUAAACUUUUAAAAUUUUUACAUUUUUGGUGGGUGAAAGAUCUUAGGAUAAAUGGAGAAUAAGUUACCUUAGGGAUAACAGCGUAAUCUUCUUGGAGAGUUCAAAUUGAUAGGAGGGGUUGCGACCUCGAUGUUGGAUUAGAAAAAAUUAUGGGGCAGCCCUCGUAAAACUAGGUCUGUUCGACCUGUAAAUUUCUACAUGAUCUGAGUUCAAACCGGAGA